UACAGAGGUCUCAAGCGUUGUUCGGAUUCAUUGGGCGUAAAGGGUGCGUAGGUGGCGGGGCAAGUUUGGUGUGAAAUCCCGGGGCUCAACCUCGGAACUGCACUGAAUACUGCCUUGCUAGAGCACUGGAGAGGGAACUGGAAUUUACGGUGUAGCAGUGAAAUGCGUAGAUAUCGUAAGGAAGACCAGUGGCGAAGGCGGGUCUCUGGGCAACAACUGACGCUGAGGAGCGAAAGCGUGGGGAGCGAACAGG
This 253-nucleotide ribosomal RNA is filed under the name uncultured bacterium. RNAcentral describes it as "partial 16S ribosomal RNA". It matches the Rfam family "Bacterial small subunit ribosomal RNA", at positions 524 to 776 of the family's 1533-position model. The record is from RNAcentral.